AAGAAUGUAAUCGACGAAACAAAAACUGAAUCCCCAUAAAAACAAGAACAAAAUCGCAUAAAACAAAAACUUAAACCCAUAAAAUAAGAACAGAAUUCCAAAUAUAAGAACUCAAUCCCAGAAAGCUUGAAACAACUAAACUAAUCAAACAGGAGGUUUCUAAAUCUUCAAUAGUCAUCAUCCAUCAGAUUCAUUGGACAAAUAAUAGGCACUGUCUCCACAUUAACCAUUGUGGAAUUUAUUAGAUUAGAGAUUUAUACACUAAAACACAGCAAGACUUGAAAACUUAUCUUAAUCGGGGAAAGAGUACUCCUUUGCAUCAUUGCAUGUCGAUUACAGGAAGGUUUGUAUGGAUUGAGACAUAUUACAGGAAGGUUUGUAUGGAUUGAGACAUUUUCGGGGACUAAAGGAUUGAUGAAAAGUAAGUAUUAAUGAUAAUGAUGAUUGAUUGAAAGAAGUUUUAGGGAAAAUAGAUAAGAAACGAGAAGGUUGUGAUGGA
Molecule: long non-coding RNA, 499 nt
Filed under: Linum usitatissimum (flax)
Lineage: Eukaryota; Viridiplantae; Streptophyta; Magnoliopsida; Malpighiales; Linaceae
Description: long non-coding RNA (LUSI_LNC007023)
Source: RNAcentral